AAAAAUGACACACACAUACCGCAACACUGCGCCGGGGUGCCUGAGAAAUCGGGUCGGUCAGGUGGGUAUGUGGAGGCCUAAC
This 82-nucleotide small RNA is filed under the name uncultured Venatoribacter sp. RNAcentral describes it as "t44 RNA". It matches the Rfam family "t44 RNA", at positions 11 to 95 of the family's 95-position model. Rfam says of the family: This family consists of a number of bacterial RNA genes of between 135 and 170 bases in length. The t44 gene is found between the map and rpsB genes in all species in the full alignment apart from Shigella flexneri. The function of this RNA is unknown. The record is from RNAcentral. Lineage: Bacteria; Pseudomonadati; Pseudomonadota; Gammaproteobacteria; Oceanospirillales; Oceanospirillaceae.